GACGAACGCUGGCGGCGUGCCUAAUACAUGCAAGUCGAGCGCAGGAAGCUGACGGAACUCUUCGGAGAGAAGGCAGUGGAAUGAGCGGCGGACGGGUGAGUAACACGUAAGGAACCUGCCUCAAGGAUUGGGAUAACUCCGAGAAAUCGGAGCUAAUACCGGAUAGUUCAACGGACCGCAUGGUCCGCUGAUGAAAGGCGCUUCGGCGUCACCUUGAGAUGGCCUUGCGGUGCAUUAGCUAGUUGGUGGGGUAACGGCCCACCAAGGCGACGAUGCAUAGACGACCUGAGAGGGUGAUCGGCCACACUGGGACUGAGACACGGCCCAGACUCCUACGGGAGGCAGCAGUAGGGAGUCUUCCACAAUGGACGAAAGUCUGAUGGAGCAACGCCGCGUGAGUGAUGAAGGUUUUCGGAUCGUAAAACUCUGUUGUAAGGGAAGAACACGUACGAGAGGGAAUGCUCGUACCUUGACGGUACCUUACGAGAAAGCCACGGCUAACUACGUGCCAGCCGCCGCCGUAA
RNAcentral lists this ribosomal RNA (524 nucleotides) under uncultured bacterium. RNAcentral's name for it is "partial 16S ribosomal RNA". It matches the Rfam family "Bacterial small subunit ribosomal RNA", at positions 28 to 523 of the family's 1533-position model. The record is from RNAcentral.